UCGGAUAUGGUGUAACGGCUAACAUUGCCGCCUCUCAUGUGUACGGUUGACCAUGAUAGUUGCGCGGUAGCUCGGGGUUUGAUUCCCUGUAUCCGAA
Armillaria borealis is the source of this 97-nucleotide non-coding RNA. The record is from the annotation of a GenBank genome assembly. NCBI's taxonomy places the organism in Eukaryota, Fungi, Basidiomycota, Agaricomycetes, Agaricales, Physalacriaceae.